ACUCCUACGGGAGGCAGCAGUGGGGAAUAUUGCACAAUGGGCGCAAGCCUGAUGCAGCCAUGCCGCGUGUGUGAAGAAGGCCUUCGGUUGUAAAGCACUUUCAGUCGUGAGGAAGGUAGUGUAGUUAAUAGCUGCAUUAUUUGUACGUUAGUCGACAGAAGAAGACACCGGCUAACUCCGUGCCAGCAGCCGCGGUAAUACGGAGGGGUGCGAGCGUUAAUCGGAAUUACUGGGCGUAAAGCGCAUGCAGGUGGUUUGUUAAGUCAGAUGUGAAAGCCCGGGGCUCAACCUCGGAAUAGCAUUUGAAACUGGCAGACUAGAGUACUGUAGAGGGGGUAGAAUUUCAGGUGUAGCGGUGAAAUGCGUAGAGAUCUGAAGGAA
RNAcentral lists this ribosomal RNA (381 nucleotides) under uncultured bacterium. Its description in RNAcentral is "bacterial SSU rRNA". It matches the Rfam family "Bacterial small subunit ribosomal RNA", at positions 335 to 706 of the family's 1533-position model. The record is from RNAcentral.